This is a long non-coding RNA of Leptinotarsa decemlineata (Colorado potato beetle), 560 nucleotides long. NCBI's taxonomy places the organism in Eukaryota, Metazoa, Arthropoda, Insecta, Coleoptera, Chrysomelidae. The record is from RefSeq and is a predicted model, not a curated record.
GGUAAGCUACCAAUGUUUUGAAUGGUGAAAUAUAGUGACGUAAUAUAUGUCAUGUUUAUAGUUAUGGUCACAAACUACUUACUCUCGUGGUUUGUGGUUAUGGUGGAAUAUGAGAAAUCGGUGAUACCUUAAAAAUUAGAAAUUGAGAUAAGAAUAGAAAUUAGGAAAAGUUAAAUUAAUAGUGAAUCUGAAAUGUCUCUGUUGUCAAGAUUCUUGCCAGUAAUUCAAAAAUCUAUAUGGCGUUCAACAAGCUUCACGAGUGAAUUCCUGCAACCAUUUUCCCAAUUUCAUUCGAUAACUAGUGAGAGAAUUUCACCAUAUGCUCCUGGAGGUCUGUUCAAUCUUUCAGUUCGCACAAUUAUACGCAACCACUUUCCUCGACCAUCGGAAAGAAAAAGGAUCAAAAGGCAUGGUUGGGAAACUAGGAUGAAGACAGCUUCAGGGCGAAGAGUAUUAAUGAAUAGAAUUCUUAAAGGUAGACAUGUAUAUUCUCAUUGAAAUAUAUUUGUCUGUAUGAGCCUAUAUAAGCAGAAAAUAAAAUUUAGUUGUAAAUAUGCCUA